AUUGAACGCUGGCGGUAUGCCUUACACAUGCAAGUCGAACGGCAGCACGGGUGCUUGCACCUGGUGGCGAGUGGCGAAGGGGGGAGUAAUACAUGGGAACAGGUCCUGUAGUGGGGGAGAGCCCGGCGAAAGCCGGAUUAAUACCGCAAACGAGCAACGGAUGAAAGCGGGGGACCUGCGGGCUUCGCGCGUUAGGGUGGGCAGAUGGCUGAUUAGCAAGUUGGUGGGGUAAGGGCGUACGAAGGCGACGAUCAGUAGCGGCUCUGAGAGGACGACCAGCCACACUGGGGCUGAGGCACGGCCCAGCCUCCUCCGGGAGGCAGCCGUGGGGACUUUUGGACGAUGCGCGAAAGCCUGUUCCAGCAAUGCCGCGUGUGUGACGAAGGCCUUCGGGUUGUAAAGAGCUUUUGUCCGGGAAGAAAUCCUUGGCUCUAAUACAGUCGGAGGAUGGCGGUACCGGAAGAAUCAGCACCGGCUAACUACGUG
RNAcentral lists this ribosomal RNA (486 nucleotides) under uncultured bacterium. RNAcentral's name for it is "partial 16S ribosomal RNA". It matches the Rfam family "Bacterial small subunit ribosomal RNA", at positions 28 to 507 of the family's 1533-position model. The record is from RNAcentral.